Molecule: ribosomal RNA, 341 nt
Filed under: Adna anglica
Lineage: Eukaryota; Metazoa; Arthropoda; Thecostraca; Balanomorpha; Pyrgomatidae
Description: partial 12S ribosomal RNA
Source: RNAcentral
UACUUAUAAUUAAAUAAUUUUGGAAUAGUAAUAAAUAUGAAAUUUAACGGAUUUGGCGGCAAGAUAGCCAUUUAGAGGAACCUGCCCUGUAAACGAUGAACCACGAAUUUCUUUACUUUUAUUAGAAUUCAGUUUGUAUACCGCUGUUGUCAGUUAGUUUCUUUAGAAAACUUUCAUUCAUGAAAAAAUCACAGACUUCAAGUAAAGGUGCAGCUUAUAUAAAAGAUAGAGGUGGGUUACAUUUAUUAGAUUAAAACGGAUAAGAUAUUGAAAUUAUCUUUGAAGGUGGAUUUAAUUGUAAAGUUUAAUGAAACUUGAUGAGAGCUCUGUCUUGUGUACAC